AGAACUUUGAAAAGAGAGUUAAACAGUACGUGAAAUUGUUGAAAGGGAAACGAUUGAAGUCAGUCAUACCAACGGGAAAUCAACCUCUUGAGUUUGGUCUCGUGGGUUUCGAAGAGUUUAAAAACCCUCCGAAUUUCCAGAAUGGGGUCCUCCGGGGGACCUUCCCCGACGGGUAGGCCACAUCCGGUUUGAAAGGCCUAAAAAGGCCGGGGGAAAGGGGGCUUCCAUAAA
Molecule: ribosomal RNA, 231 nt
Filed under: Funneliformis caledonium
Lineage: Eukaryota; Fungi; Glomeromycota; Glomeromycetes; Glomerales; Glomeraceae
Description: partial large subunit ribosomal RNA
Source: RNAcentral